GGGCCCGCACAAGCGGUGGAGCAUGUGGUUUAAUUCGAUGCAACGCGAAGAACCUUACCUACUCUUGACAUCCACAGAAGCCGGAAGAGAUUCUGGUGUGUCUUCGGGAACUGUGAGACAGGUGCUGCAUGGCUGUCGUCAGCUCGUGUUGUGAAAUGUUGGGUUAAGUCCCGCAACGAGCGCAACCCUUAUCCUUGUUUGCCAGCGAGUAAUGUCGGGAACUCCAGGGAGACUGCCGGUGAUAAACCGGAGGAAGGUGGGGACGACGUCAAGUCAUCAUGGCCCUUACGAGUAGGGCUACACACGUGCUACAAUGGCAUAUACAGAGGGCAGCGAGGCAGCGAUGUGAAGCGAAUCCCAGAAAGUAUGUCGUAGUCCGGAUUGGAGUCUGCAACUCGACUCCAUGAAGUCGGAAUCGCUAGUAA
Molecule: ribosomal RNA, 425 nt
Filed under: uncultured bacterium
Lineage: Bacteria
Description: bacterial SSU rRNA
Rfam family: Bacterial small subunit ribosomal RNA
Source: RNAcentral